Molecule: long non-coding RNA, 277 nt
Filed under: Lathyrus oleraceus (garden pea)
Lineage: Eukaryota; Viridiplantae; Streptophyta; Magnoliopsida; Fabales; Fabaceae
Description: Pisum sativum (pea) long non-coding RNA (PSAT_LNC041284)
Source: RNAcentral
AAGACUGUCCUCUAGAGGAGCAGAACGCCAGUGCCUGUAUCAGAGAGCCAUGGUGACUUUGUUUCAUGAUAUGAUUCAUCAUGAAGUUGAACGCUAUGCUAUGACAUGAUAGCAAAGUCCCAAACAGGAGAGAGGCAUCUGGCAGACCGGGGCAAGUCGUUUGACCGAUUGAGACAAUUCAAACUGAGGUUGAAUUCGAAUCAGUGCACUAUCAGAGUGCGAUCCGGUAAGCUGUUGGGGUUCAUUGUAAGAGAGGAAUCGAGGUUCAUCCUGCUUA